Long non-coding RNA from Cavia porcellus (domestic guinea pig), 1462 nucleotides. RefSeq lists it as uncharacterized. NCBI's taxonomy places the organism in Eukaryota, Metazoa, Chordata, Mammalia, Rodentia, Caviidae. The transcript has 2 exons. The record is from RefSeq and is a predicted model, not a curated record.
GGUUUGCAGCAGGAAGUCAUUUCCUACAGUGAAGGAGUGGCCACAUCCUGCAGGGCCCGUAGGCACUUAGCAUGCCUGCCCAGAGCCAGGAAGAUCUAAAAACACCUGAGCCGCACUGGGUGUGGCGAUCCUCCUGGCUCAGCCUCCAGCCUGCUGCACCGUGCCUGGCCUCUCCCAAAUCUCUAGAUUUCAAGCUGUAUGUAGGCUACACCCUAACUGGCAAAGGACCAGCAUAACACACCAAGCACAGACUCUUCCCUGGCAUAUGAAGAACUGUGAGGACACAGACAGGAAUGGGGAGUUGGAGGCAGCAUAAAUAAUCACAGAAGACCACAAAGGUCAGUGGGAAAGAAAAAAUAAAGCUCUGGGAGUGGGGGGAGGCAAUGAGAGCUGGCACCACCUAUUGCAGGAGGGCAAGGAGACCCUGUGCUCUGGCCAGGAUGGCGGCGGGGGGGGGCUCCUUCCCGCUCCCCAGGGGUCUCUGUGAACAGGACUCCUGCAGGAGUCCAUGGGAAGGGCAGGCAUGGAGUGUCCCCUGUCCAGCAGUUUCCAGCCAGUGAGAGACAGGGCAACACCCAUUUCUAAGUCCCCAGAUUCCCCCACACUGAGACUUUUCUGAGAACAGUGCUUUAGGUUUCAGCAUGGAUGUCGAGAAAUGCAAAGAGAAAAAGAGGAGCAAAGAAAUGAAAAGGUGCAGAUGACCAGAUGAAACUCGGCACCCUCCUGCGCCGUGCACCCUGGGGCCUCUUCUGUGUCCUCGGCUGCACGAUGGGGUAGAGGUGAGGCUUGGUGACAUCCAAGGGGUCAAAGAACUGAGUAAAGUUUAAAAUGCUGUCCGAUGAGGGUGGCUGUGGUCAUUCCAUGUGCGUAAGGCUGAAAGUGGCUGAGAGUAUGGCGGGGAGACACAUGUGGGUCCCCAGAAGCCAUCAGACCCUGUUCUGCAAGCCGAGGGCCAUGCUCUACCCUUCUCAGCCUUGGUUUCCAGAGGAAGAGGCCACAUCUCAGAUGGAGUCCCCUGGGGGUGGAGCCAGGGGUGCAGGCCAGGAGGGUCCAGGGCCACCAGGUGCCCUCAACGGGGCAGUGUGGCACAUUGGCACUACUGGUAUCGACUGAUGGUAGAGUCUGCUUCAGCUCUCAUCCUGGGGAAGCCUGUGGGGACUGGCAUCUGGAUGCAGGGGAGGUGGUCUGGCCUUGGGGUCUGGACACCCCGGGCCCACAGUUGACCUGCUGGGUGACUUAGUACAUUGCUCCCCAUUGCAACCCUCAGUUGUGUGGUUUGACAAAUGGGGACGUGAAUCCCUACCCUUCCCAGCUCGCGGGUCCAGUGGGAAAAGGUGUGCAAGAGCUUUAACGAGAGUCAUGGGAAGGCAAGGGUGGUUAUGGCCUUAAGAGAGCGUCCUCUUUGUUCCCUGAAGACAAAGGCUGCCACAGGGAGAGACGGAAAGGUGAGCCAGACUUCCAA